UCCACCCCCAAAUCUUAUCCCUUCCUUCUGCGCCACCCAAUCCCUCCCUUCCUUCGAGGCCUCCGACCACCAUCCAUGCCUUCCAAGGUCACCCGAGCGCCUCAACCUGCUCUAUGUUAUGGAUCUGUACCCGCUGAACACCAUCAUCCAUGGUUCCUCUGCUAUUGGGACACGACGUCGUCCCAUCUCCGUUCUGGACAUUACCCUACGACACCAACGCUUGGCCUGCUCCUCCACCACGGCCCUGCUCGGACCACACCACCACCGACGCCACCAUUGAGAAUCCACCCCAACUUGAGCAGUUCACCGGCGUCAUUGAGGAAGCACUGAGCUGCUGCAUUGGAAAUACGAGGAACUGUGCAAGAAGCUGAUAUUCACUAGACGGCAAGAAAUAGUCUCAUAUUUUUCUUCCAAGUAGUAUGAACCAUUCCCCACUUUGAUACUUAUGAACACCCAUUUGGUAUAUCCUUUUCCUAGUUACAGUUCAUCCAGAUCAGGAGUAGGAUUUAUGGUUCAUGAUCCAACUAAAAGAGAGGUGUAAUAUCCUCUGCCCUUGACAUGGUACGGUACAUACUGUUAUUUCACUACAUGUCUCCAAAUUCAUGUAUUGAUUAAUUUCGAUUCAAGUUUUCUAUCUCGCAAGAUCAUGCUAUCUUCAGUAUGCUCGAGAACAUCUGAAAUGCACCUAGACGUUAUAUUUCAGAUUAUUGACAAUGAAACUGUACCAGGAAACGCCUAUUACCAACAACUAUGCUCAAGAUAUGAAUGCUCUGUUAUAACAAUUAACAAGACAAAGAUAUGCUCAGGGGCUCCUAUUGUAGGCCAUACUAUAUGUCAUCUUAAUUUAGUUAGUCCUUUUACUACUUGCUUCUUAGAAUUUCUUACUGUCUUAUUAUCUAGUACUUAACAAUUCUUGUGUAUUCCUCAUAUUUAAGCUCACAGUGUUCUUCCUUCUCCCUUAAGUUGUAUUUUGCUUUCGUUCUUAUAUUAAAGAUUGAACAAUUGCAGUGCAAGCACACAAUUGGUUGUUCCUGCUGGAGAAGGUGCACAAUCUUGCCGAGUUGCACACAAUCAAUUAAAAUAGUAUAUUUGUACAUUUUUGGAACUAGUUGAUUGUAGCUCUUAGUUGUACAAGGUGGAUGCAAGUGUCUGGGUGCGAUGACCUGUAGAUAUUGCAUUGCUCUGAAAAUUAUCAAUACAUUGCAUAGAUGAAUGGAUGUCACUCCUUACAUUGUUGUUCUGAACUUCUGUACUAAUUUACUGAAGCAUCAAGUAACAACUGUCCUCUGUUUGGGGUCACCCCUUUCCCUAGUAGUAUUGCAUUCUAUUUCCUUAUGAUUUUUUGAUUGUCUUACUAUCCAUUAGAGUAAGAGUCUGCUCUCUAACUUGUUUGUCCAUACCUUCUUAUUUUAGUCUCUUUCAUUAUGUUUUUUUGGGAAGAAUUAAAUAAAAUUAUCAGUGCAACAUAGAGGUUAAAGCAGGUGGUUGAGCUAUCACUCAAUUUCAAGAAAUUGAAUAAGAUUCUUCCAAAUUAAGUGGAAAUAUUCCCUUUCAUAUUUUGUUGUUCUAUGCACGUGAACCUAGAAAUUAAAUAUUGAUCAACACCUGAUCGAUGUCUUAUUUUGCUAGUUUGCAGUUCAUUCUUAUUAGGAGCAGAAUUUAAGAUUGGGGAUCUAUGAGAGAUGCAAGAGCCUCUAAUCAAGGGUAACCUUGAAGAAAAGCUUGCAACUUAAGCUGCAACAAAAAGAUUUUAGAAAAUGAGAUCUCUUGUGCAUAUUUAGUUGAUGCACUUGUGUGUGUUUAGAUGUUGCAGCUCUGUUUUCAUUGACCUUCGAUUCAUGUACGUAAAUUCUAUGGAACUGUAUCCGAAGACAUGUGAAUUUGUAUCUCUGGUUGAUGGAAACAAUUGAUAGUGAUGUUUCUAUGUUCUAAAUAUCAUGGGUUAUGGAAUAACUAUGUAUAAAACCAUCAAUAUUAUUUUUCUUCAUUGGUUUCUUUUUUUCCUGACGGUUAUGUAUGACAGGGAUAUACUAUUUCCCUGGUUUGCCAAUCCUGAUGCCCAUAUAACCCUGUAGGGCCAAACCCGUCAGGGAAAUAUGGAAACCCGACAGGAAUAUAGUUCCUGUUGGCCAACCGACAGGCAUAGUUUAUUUUCCCUGUCAAGCUAUCCCUGACGGCUAACCCUGAC
Triticum aestivum (bread wheat) is the source of this 2188-nucleotide long non-coding RNA. RefSeq lists it as uncharacterized. The transcript has 3 exons. The record is from RefSeq and is a predicted model, not a curated record. NCBI's taxonomy places the organism in Eukaryota, Viridiplantae, Streptophyta, Magnoliopsida, Poales, Poaceae.